This is a long non-coding RNA of Sinocyclocheilus grahami, 380 nucleotides long. RefSeq lists it as uncharacterized. The record is from RefSeq and is a predicted model, not a curated record. Lineage: Eukaryota; Metazoa; Chordata; Actinopteri; Cypriniformes; Cyprinidae. The transcript is spliced from 3 exons.
GAAGAGGAGUUUGUAUUUAGAUUUUUACAUCAGUCCGGAUGAAGAUUCGUGCCAAAAAUUUGUGCCGUUUAUUGGGGUGGUGAAGGUGGGGAUCGUUGAACACAGUCUGUCCACAUCAGGUGAGUUCAGAUCCGCCUCAUUCGGCACAGCUGAUGUCUGUGAUGCAAGCGUGAGCUCCAGUGAUGGGAUUGGGUGUUUGACAGCGUCAUCACGCAGGUUUCUGGUGCUCAGGAAAUGAGGUCACGUCUGCGAGCUUCACGCUCUCUUUCAGUCGGUCACAUAAAUAGAUUUUACAGCACGAGGCUUUUACAGUCCUGUUCAUACUGCGCCCGCAGCAGUGCAUCAGCUCCUCAUAUGUAGGUCAGCGCACUGUGUGUGUG